Molecule: long non-coding RNA, 774 nt
Filed under: Homo sapiens (human)
Lineage: Eukaryota; Metazoa; Chordata; Mammalia; Primates; Hominidae
Description: HSALNT0290375
Source: RNAcentral
UAGGGAGGGGAGCGGGAAGACAGAGCUAUGUCUUGAUUAUCUUGGUAUCUGCAGUAUGUAGUCCAGCUCAACAGGCAUUUGUUGAAUGACUGAAUGACUAUUUACAGAGGGCACACUAUGGGCCAGGAACCUGUCUGGGGUCUUAGAUAUGGCCAUGAACAAGAUGGAUGCAGCCCUUGCCUUCUUGGAGCUCAUAUUUGGCAGGGGGUCGCCAAGAUAUAUGCUGCACAGUACAUGAUGAGCACAAGGAGUGUUUCCUAGAGAAAGUACUGGAUGUUUUGCCUCAACAGUCCACAUCAGUGUGCAGGUAAUUAGCAUUACUCGGGGCACUGAAGGAAGGGUUGUCACAAUGACAACAAAGCAGUACCCAUUGAGAGGCAGGAGGGCGUGGUCUGAACUCCAGCUUGGCCAAUGGCCACUGUUGGAACUUGGCAAGAUUCUCCUUGCUGGUGCCAUGAAGUCCGCGGCCAUGUUGAGGAAGCCCUGAGGGCAAAGAACCAUGGGAAGCUUCUAGAAUCUGAGGGUGGCCUCUGGGUGACAGUCAACAAAAUGCCAGGGACCUGCUCAGAUAGCCACAAGGAAAUGAAUUCUGACCACAACCUGAGGGAGCAUAGCAGUGGGUUGUUCCCCAGUAGAGCCUCCAGAUGAGAACACAGCCUAGCCAAUGUCACAAGGAUUGCAGCCUUGUGAGACUCGGAGCAGAGGACCCAUUUAAGCAUUCCUGGACUCCUGGACCUAAACUGAGAAAUAAUAAAUGUAUAUUGCUGGAGGCCA